CAUUACACCACCGCUGUGUACGUGGCUGUUUUAAUUUCUCUGCAAACACCGAGUCGGAAUCCUGCCAGCCAAACACACUAAGCUGUAUUUGUUGCUUGCAGAACAGCUGAGGGAAAGCUCGGUGAAAUCAGUCAGGUUCAGUUUCGUUUCUUUGUAAAUGCAGCCAGACAGUAGUGUAUAUAAAGGACUGUCAGGACACUGCAACUAGAACCUUCUGUGACCUACAGGGAUUCAGAGGCCGCCAUCUUGGAGAGCCUGAGCCCCAGCUGUCACUCAAACGGAGAGGAGGCGGAGCCUCCGGAGCUCACCGAACAGAUGGGCGGAGACCUCCGCCAGACCACACUCUAUCAGGAGGAAGUGUCCACCAGGAAGGACUGUGAGAAAGACGCAUCCUUGUCGGUUACCGGGGCGAUUUCUCUCCCGAGUCCUUCCCAGCACUUGGCCAAUCAAAAUCCGGACGAACUGAAAACGGAAACCGCUGACGAGGAGUGAGCCUCCGGGGAACCGCCGGGAAGAGGAUCAUGGGACACGGAGUUCCACCCAGGAUUCCUACACUCCAGCUAGUGCCACUAUAAAUAUUUAUGACAGUUAACAGUUAACCCCCCAGACAACUCUUUGGGUGAAUUCAGGUAAUGUUUGUACAUUUAAUCCAGACUGGGGGCAGAAACUGAGGUGUCCCAAAUUAUCUGAAUUCACUUACAUAGUGACCUAUAUACAGUGCACUCUGACAAUGUAAUAACAGAUGACUCUUGAUGGAAGCUGAUGCUGGACGAUGGGCCCUUAAACCCCCAAACUGAGCCGCGAAGGCCACCCUCCCCUUACCUCAGUUUACUUUAUUUUUACCUUUUUUCGUGAACAGCUCUAUUUGUCCAAUUCUGGACAGCCGUGGUUGUGGUUGGAUAAACCUGCAGGGCGGGAUUAAAAGGAGUGAAAGUACUUUUGUUGUUGUUGUUGUUGUUGAUGUUGUUAUUUCGUCUCUUGUGUGGGUGAGGGUUAAGACAACAUUUAUCAACAUGUGAUGGACAUGUUUCCCUGAAACAUGUAUGUUUUCAUUCCUGUGUACACCUGGACAUCAUCGCUGAAUGGAUCUAUUAUCGAAUGGAUCAAUAAAUGUAAGAUCUCUCCUGAA
Long non-coding RNA from Conger conger (European conger), 1129 nucleotides. RefSeq lists it as uncharacterized. Lineage: Eukaryota; Metazoa; Chordata; Actinopteri; Anguilliformes; Congridae. The transcript is spliced from 3 exons. The record is from RefSeq and is a predicted model, not a curated record.